This 1476-nucleotide ribosomal RNA is filed under the name Bacillus sp. 2BSG-10NA-19. RNAcentral's name for it is "16S ribosomal RNA". It matches the Rfam family "Bacterial small subunit ribosomal RNA". The record is from RNAcentral. Lineage: Bacteria; Bacillati; Bacillota; Bacilli; Caryophanales; Bacillaceae.
AGGACGAACGCUGGCGGCGUGCCUAAUACAUGCAAGUCGAGCGGACCGACGGGAGCUUGCUCCCUUAGGUCAGCGGCGGACGGGUGAGUAACACGUGGGUAACCUGCCUGUAAGACUGGGAUAACUCCGGGAAACCGGGGCUAAUACCGGAUGCUUGAUUGAACCGCAUGGUUCAAUCAUGAAAGGCGGCUUCGGCUGCCGUUUACAGAUGGACCCGCGGCGCAUUAGCUAGUUGGUGAGGUAACGGCUCACCAAGGCGACGAUGCGUAGCCGACCUGAGAGGGUGAUCGGCCACACUGGGACUGAGACACGGCCCAGACUCCUACGGGAGGCAGCAGUAGGGAAUCUUCCGCAAUGGACGAAAGUCUGACGGAGCAACGCCGCGUGAGUGAUGAAGGUUUUCGGAUCGUAAAGCUCUGUUGUUAGGGAAGAACAAGUACCGUUCGAAUAGGGCGGUACCUUGACGGUACCUAACCAGAAAGCCACGGCUAACUACGUGCCAGCAGCCGCGGUAAUACGUAGGUGGCAAGCGUUGUCCGGAAUUAUUGGGCGUAAAGCGCGCGCAGGCGGUUUCUUAAGUCUGAUGUGAAAGCCCCCGGCUCAACCGGGGAGGGUCAUUGGAAACUGGGGAACUUGAGUGCAGAAGAGGAGAGUGGAAUUCCACGUGUAGCGGUGAAAUGCGUAGAGAUGUGGAGGAACACCAGUGGCGAAGGCGACUCUCUGGUCUGUAACUGACGCUGAGGCGCGAAAGCGUGGGGAGCGAACAGGAUUAGAUACCCUGGUAGUCCACGCCGUAAACGAUGAGUGCUAAGUGUUAGAGGGUUUCCGCCCUUUAGUGCUGCAGCAAACGCAUUAAGCACUCCGCCUGGGGAGUACGGUCGCAAGACUGAAACUCAAAGGAAUUGACGGGGGCCCGCACAAGCGGUGGAGCAUGUGGUUUAAUUCGAAGCAACGCGAAGAACCUUACCAGGUCUUGACAUCCUCUGACAUCCCUAGAGAUAGGGCUUCCCCUUCGGGGGCAGAGUGACAGGUGGUGCAUGGUUGUCGUCAGCUCGUGUCGUGAGAUGUUGGGUUAAGUCCCGCAACGAGCGCAACCCUUGAUCUUAGUUGCCAGCAUUCAGUUGGGCACUCUAAGGUGACUGCCGGUGACAAACCGGAGGAAGGUGGGGAUGACGUCAAAUCAUCAUGCCCCUUAUGACCUGGGCUACACACGUGCUACAAUGGACAGAACAAAGGGCAGCGAAGCCGCGAGGCUCAGCCAAUCCCACAAAUCUGUUCUCAGUUCGGAUCGCAGUCUGCAACUCGACUGCGUGAAGCUGGAAUCGCUAGUAAUCGCGGAUCAGCAUGCCGCGGGUGAAUACGUUNCCCGGGGCUUGUACACACCGCCCGUCACACCACGAGAGUUUGUAACACCCGAAGUCGGUGAGGUAACCUUUUGGAGCCAGCCGCCGAAGGUGGGACAGAUGAUUGGGGUGA